This 253-nucleotide ribosomal RNA is filed under the name uncultured bacterium. Its description in RNAcentral is "partial 16S ribosomal RNA". It matches the Rfam family "Bacterial small subunit ribosomal RNA", at positions 524 to 776 of the family's 1533-position model. The record is from RNAcentral.
UACAGAGGGUGCGAGCGUUAAUCGGAAUUACUGGGCGUAAAGCGUGCGUAGACGGUUAUUUAAGUUGGGUGUGAAAGCCCCGGGCUCAACCUGGGAAUUGCAUUCGAGACUGAAUAGCUAGGGUACGGUAGAGGGAAGCGGAAUUUCCGGUGUAGCGGUGAAAUGCGUAGAUAUCGGAAGGAACAUCAGUGGCGAAAGCGGCUUCCUGGACCAGUACCGACGUUCAGGCACGAAAGCGUGGGGAGCAAACAGG